UAAUACAGAGACCCCGAGCGUUGACCGGAUUUAUUGGGCGUAAAGCGUGCGCAGGCGGUUUCGUAAGUCAUUUGUUAAAUCUUCAGGCUCAACCUGGAGACUGCUGGUGAUACUGCGAAACUAGAGUACGGGAGAGGUAGGCGGAAUGCCCGGUGUAGGGGUCAAAUCCGUUAAGAUCGGGUAGAACACCAAAUGCGAAAGCAGCCUACUGGAACGUAACUGACGCUGUUGCACGAAAGCGUGGGUAGCGAAUGGGAUUAGAUACCCCAGUAGUCCACGCCGUAAACGAUGAGUGCUAGGUAUUGGGAGUCUCGACCCUCUCAGUGCCGUUCAACCAAGCUAACGCGUUAAGCACUCCGCCUGGGGAGUACGGCCGCAAGGCUA
This 384-nucleotide ribosomal RNA is filed under the name uncultured bacterium. RNAcentral's name for it is "bacterial SSU rRNA". It matches the Rfam family "Bacterial small subunit ribosomal RNA", at positions 521 to 896 of the family's 1533-position model. The record is from RNAcentral.